GCCGAUGUAGCUCAAUGGCAGAGCACGGCUUUCGUAAAGCCGGGGUUGAGGGUUCAAGUCCCUCCAUCGGCU
This 72-nucleotide transfer RNA is filed under the name Phycisphaerae bacterium. RNAcentral describes it as "tRNA-Thr". It matches the Rfam family "tRNA". From Rfam's summary of the family: Transfer RNA (tRNA) molecules are approximately 80 nucleotides in length. Their secondary structure includes four short double-helical elements and three loops (D, anti-codon, and T loops). Further hydrogen bonds mediate the characteristic L-shaped molecular structure. tRNAs have two regions of fundamental functional importance: the anti-codon, which is responsible for specific mRNA codon recognition, and the 3' end, to which the tRNAs corresponding amino acid is attached (by aminoacyl-tRNA synthetases). tRNAs cope with the degeneracy of the genetic code in two manners: having more than one tRNA (with a specific anti-codon) for a particular amino acid; and 'wobble' base-pairing, i.e. permitting non-standard base-pairing at the 3rd anti-codon position. Lineage: Bacteria; Pseudomonadati; Planctomycetota; Phycisphaerae. The record is from RNAcentral.